RNAcentral lists this ribosomal RNA (253 nucleotides) under uncultured bacterium. RNAcentral describes it as "partial 16S ribosomal RNA". It matches the Rfam family "Bacterial small subunit ribosomal RNA", at positions 524 to 776 of the family's 1533-position model. The record is from RNAcentral.
UACAGAGGUCUCAAGAGUUGUUCGGAUUCAUUGGGCGUAAAGGGUGCGUAGGCGGCGCGGUAAGUCGGGUGUGAAAUCUCGGAGCUUAACUCCGAAACUGCAUUCGAUACUGCCGUGCUUGAGGACUGGAGAGGAGACUGGAAUUUACGGUGUAGCGGUGAAAUGCGUAGAUAUCGUAAGGAAGACCAGUGGCGAAGGCGGGUCUCUGGACAGUUCCUGACGCUGAGGCACGAAGGUCAGGGGAGCAAACGGG